GCCAACCUGCUUCUCCUUCUACUCCAUGUCUGUUACAGAAAAAAAAAACAUUAAUCUUGCCUGCUGGAUGUCAUCUGGUGACAAGGACUUAUCUCAUCAAAAGAAAGUCAAGAACAGAGGGCUGUGAGACUGCAUCUGACACUGCAGAAUCAAUACAGACAAGUGGAAGACUAAAGAAGUUACAGAAUCUGGUGCAAACAAAGAAAGGGCAUCAGAGUGGAGCUGGAAAAGAGGAGAACACAUCGAAGGAAGGAACUGCAUUAUUGUAUGAUUAUUACAAAGAAUUUAUACCUACCUUCAGAUCAUUUGGCAGAUGUGCUGAUUAAUAACAAUCCAGUGACCUGCAUUGGUUUUGGGAAGAGAACAGAAAAGUCCUCUGACACUGCUGCAUCAGCACGGCGGCAACAAGCUAAAGUUUAUGAAGGGCCAGUGGAGGAAGAUGUUUGGAGUUCAAGGGCUGCAAAGCUCCUGUGGAGCUCAUUUGAGUGUCCACAGCCCUGGUCUCCUGUCUACCACACCUGCCACCAUUGUCGACAUGAGCUGGUGGUGGCUUGUUGUUACUACCUCGAACCACAGAAUGGGAUCAUCUUGAGAGUUUUGAUACAGGAACUGGACAACAAACAGGGUAAUCUGUCUUCCCCACAAAUGAUCCGCUCCAUCACAGAUCUACACCUCUCACAAAACACAUUGACCAGAUUUAGGAGAUCGGAUGCCUUCAGCACUCAUCUUUGAUGAAACCACAGGAUAAUGCAGGCUGUCUGCAAAAGCAGGAGCAGAAGGGUUCUCCAACUAAUUUGAGGCUGCAGGGAAAGCAAACAGAGGCUGCAUCACAGGCUGACAGGAAGCACGUCAAGACUUC
This is a long non-coding RNA of Monopterus albus (swamp eel), 859 nucleotides long. RefSeq lists it as uncharacterized. Lineage: Eukaryota; Metazoa; Chordata; Actinopteri; Synbranchiformes; Synbranchidae. The transcript has 4 exons. The record is from RefSeq and is a predicted model, not a curated record.